RNAcentral lists this ribosomal RNA (253 nucleotides) under uncultured bacterium. Its description in RNAcentral is "partial 16S ribosomal RNA". It matches the Rfam family "Bacterial small subunit ribosomal RNA", at positions 524 to 776 of the family's 1533-position model. The record is from RNAcentral.
AACGUAGGGGGCGAGCGUUAUCCGGAUUUACUGGGCGUAAAGCGCAUGUAGGCGGACUGGAAAGUUGGACGUGAAAGCUCCCGGCUUAACUGGGAGAGGUCGUACAAAACUACCAGACUGGAGGUUGGAAGAGGAGAGUGGAAUUCCCGGUGUAGUGGUGGAAUGCGUAGAUAUCGGGAGGAACACCAGUGGCGAAAGCGGCUCUCUGGACCAAACCUGACGCUGAGAUGCGAAAGCGUGGGGAGCAAACGGG